UUUAAAAAGGAGAAUCUGACAAAGCAAAAGAUUUGGACCGAACUCGAAAGUCUACCAUGUUUCUGGGAAAGCGAGGGGGUCUGAGGCUCCUGCCACUCAUCACAGCGGGGGAAGCAGUCCCAGUGGGUUCGGGCUGCCCUGAUGGUGCCACCGAGGCAAAGAAGUGCUGGUGCAAGCGGGCGGUCUCCUCAGAGUCCUCUCCCCUCGCAAAAAAGAGAUCUACUCUGUCUCUAGGGACCCUUAUGUGGAGCAAAAAGAGAAGUGUCUGCUGUCACUUGGCAAGAGAGAAAAUGAGCCCUCACCCAGUGGCUGAAGGAAGCAGAGACAGACAUCCACAGAUAUACACUGAGCCGAAAUCGGGAAUUUAGUUGAAGAGAGGGAGGAAUGAAGAACGAAGGGGUCUGUACCAGGUUGGAGAAACCCACAGGAACAGUUGACCUGAACAAGGGAGAGCACAUCGACCCCAGAUGCUGUCUGGGAGGCCAGUACAAGACUGAUCCAGACCCCUGAACAUGGAUGUCAAUAAGAAGGCCUCUGCACUCCAGGGAGCCUCUGGUAGUGGAUUAGUAUUUUCCCCUGGUGCAAGAAGGGACUUUGAGAGCCCAUCCCACAUGAAGGACUACACUCUGGCCCUGGACACAUGGGGAAGGGCCCAGGACCAGCACAGGAAGAUUUGGUGGACUUUGCAGAGCCCCCGUUGAGGGCCCUACCCUGCCUGGGGAGUGGUGG
Molecule: long non-coding RNA, 729 nt
Filed under: Cricetulus griseus (Chinese hamster)
Lineage: Eukaryota; Metazoa; Chordata; Mammalia; Rodentia; Cricetidae
Description: lncRNA (ENSCGRG00015035286.1)
Source: RNAcentral